UACGUAGGCAGCGAGCGUUGUUCGGAGUUACUGGGCGUAAAGAGUGCGUAGGCGGUGCUCUAAGUUUGGUGUGAAAUCUCCCGGCUCAACUGGGAGGGUGCGCCGAAAACUGGAGUGCUCGAGUAUGGGAGAGGUAAGCGGAAUUCCUGGUGUAGCGGUGAAAUGCGUAGAUAUCAGGAGGAACACCUGCGGUGUAGACGGCUUACUGGACCAUGACUGACGCUGAGGCACGAAAGCGUGGGAGCAAACAGG
RNAcentral lists this ribosomal RNA (252 nucleotides) under uncultured bacterium. RNAcentral describes it as "partial 16S ribosomal RNA". It matches the Rfam family "Bacterial small subunit ribosomal RNA", at positions 524 to 776 of the family's 1533-position model. The record is from RNAcentral.